UCUCCGUAGGUGAACCUGCGGAGGGAUCAUUAACGAGUUCCCCGUACCGGGUAGAAUUCCCACCCUAUGUUAUCAUUAUCUCUGUUGCUUUGGCGGGCCGCCCGGCCUCGGUCAGGCUACCGGCUCCGGCUGGUAAGCGCCCGCCAGAGGACCCCAAACUCUGAAUAUUAGUGUCGUCUGAGUACUAUAUAAUAGUUAAAACUUUCAACAACGGAUCUCUUGGUUCUG
Molecule: unclassified non-coding RNA, 228 nt
Filed under: plant metagenome
Description: partial contains small subunit ribosomal RNA, internal transcribed spacer 1, and 5.8S ribosomal RNA
Source: RNAcentral